AAGACUAUACUUUCAGGGAUCAUUUCUAUAGUAUAUUACUAGAGAAGUUUCUCUGAAUGUGUAGAGUACCCGAAACCACGAGGAGGAGGUGCAGUGUUCUCUUCUGAGCGUGAAAGCGGCGUUUGGCGUUGUAGUUUGCAACUGCUAAUUGCCAUUGAUGAUCGUUCUUCUCCUCUUUUGGGGGAGUUAGAGGGAGAGAACGCAGUCUGAGUGGU
Neomonachus schauinslandi (Hawaiian monk seal) is the source of this 215-nucleotide small nucleolar RNA. RefSeq annotates it as small nucleolar RNA U3. Lineage: Eukaryota; Metazoa; Chordata; Mammalia; Carnivora; Phocidae. The record is from RefSeq and is a predicted model, not a curated record. The transcript has a single exon.